Molecule: unclassified non-coding RNA, 331 nt
Filed under: soil metagenome
Description: partial contains 5.8S ribosomal RNA, internal transcribed spacer 2, and large subunit ribosomal RNA
Rfam family: 5.8S ribosomal RNA (bases 1-120)
Source: RNAcentral
GAUGAAGAACGUAGUGAAAUGCGAUACGUAGUGUGAAUUGCAGAAUUCAGUGAAUCAUCGAAUCUUUGAACGCACAUUGCGCCCCCUGGUAUUCCGGGGGGCAUGCCUGUUCGAGCGUCAUUUCACCACUCAAGCCUCGCUUGGUAUUGGGCAACGCGGUCCGCCGCGUGCCUCAAAUCGACCGGCUGGGUCUUCUGUCCCCUAAGCGUUGUGGAAACUAUUCGCUAAAGGGUGUUCGGGAGGCUACGCCGUAAAACAACCCCAUUUCUAAGGUUGACCUCGGAUCAGGUAGGGAUACCCGCUGAACUUAAGCAUAUCAAUAAGCGGAGGA